GGCCAUGACUGCAUAAAUAAGGAAAUAAAAAUCAAAGCCCCAAGGCCCUCAGGCACCAUUAAUACAAGUCUGAAGCUUCUCUAUCACAGGCUUUUAGAGAGAGAUGACAGGGACUGGGUUUCUAUCUCCUGUUGGAAAACGUGGGGCCUGCAUUGCCAAACUGCUGAAGGAGAGAAGGCUCAAAGGACUAGAGGACAGAAUGAGGGAUGACAGAGCAGCUGAGCCAUUAGUAUGAAGAACAAACAAGCAUUUAGAGCCAAAUAUGUUUUUACCCAUUCUCCAACUUCCAGGCUGCCACGGAAGCUCUGGGAAUUCCGACCCUUCUAUUUCAGGUCCCAAAGACCUCACUUCCAGCAUGUGGGGUUUCCCUCCCUAACCUCUGCUACAUGGCAACCACCAAGACUAGCUGAAAACCAAGGGUGAGUCCUUUAUUAGCUUUUCCCCUGGGCCUCAUCUGCCCCAGCUACCAGCCAGAACACAAAAGCUACCUGUCUAAUUAGAGUAUACUUAGCUAAUAGGGAACCCCCUCUCACAGAGGAGUUCCAUAGGGACCAUCAGGUCUCUCUUACCCCUCAGCUGCCCUAAGACAGGGAAUUUCUCUGGAAGGCUCAAGGCCACCAGCCAGCAGAAUUAAGUGUUAUACCAGUGCCUACCCAAGCCUGACAACAUCAUGCUCCCAGAACACCAAUAACAACACUCAUCACCCCAGGGGCCCACAGAAGGUGCCUAGAGACUGAAAUAGGAGCUCUCAUGGCUUAAGGAGGCAAUGCGAAUUUCAUCUGCAACACUGAGAACAAAGGCAGUUCCUGCAGAAACGUCACAGCUACCUGGGAGCCUAAGUCUGAAGCAAUUAGGCAGGGCUCCCAGUGAAGGCUCUGAUUUUUCAGGUCAGGCCCUAGGGUCUCCUGGGUCCAAAGGUGAGGCUCCCCCGCCCACAGAACCUGGCCCAUCCCUGCAGGGAGAACUAUUUUUAGAACACUUGGAGAGUUUUCAGAGCUUUGACAGGUUGAAGAUUGUUCAUGGGGGGAGCUUCUGGGAGAAGCUGUCUCUGACUCUGAGGACGGUGGGCUCCCAGAGAGCCAGGCUUAUGUUCUUUUUGCACCUCCAACAGAGUACAUUGAGCUGGCGGCUGUGAUGCUGAAGGCAGCUUUCCCCAUCGCUUGCUCUCUGCGCCGGGGCAUGUCAGCUCUAGAGGAAUUCAUCUGGGGCAGGCCCAAUACAGCCCGCUGAAUUAGCCUCCACGAUCCCCGGGCCUCCCCGGCGCCAGGGGGCGCUGUAAACAUUCCGUCCUGGCCCCCGCUGCCGCCGUCGCCCGCCCCAUCCGCGCGAUGGGCUCCGAGGCCGCCCAGCUGCUGGAGGCUGCCGACUUCGCUGCUCGCAAGCACCGGCAGCAGCGGCGGAAGGACCCCGAAGGGACCCCCUACAUCAACCACCCCAUCGGUGGGCUCGUCGGCCGCGGAGCACCGGCUGCGGCACCGGGGGUGGGGACUGGGAAGGAUACGUGGGGUGCGUGCACCUCAUUGAGCACCUAUUUUGUCCCAAGCUUAGUGCGAUAUACCGUUUAAGCCUCGUAACAACUGGAGCGGUAGGCAUGAUCGUUCCCUUUGUCGGUUGACACCCAGAGGGUGAGGGACUUGACCAAGGUCACCCAGCUAGUGAGAGGCCAGGAGGGGCCACAUCUGACUCUCCAAAACCCACAACACACCGCCUUGGAGCUAUCUCCGACCUGACUUCCUGCUUUGCCCCUCCCCAUCAGGUGUGGCUCGGAUCCUGACCCACGAGGCGGGAAUCACUGACAUUGUGGUGUUACAGGCGGCCCUGCUCCAUGACACGGUGGAGGACACAGACACCACCCUGGAUGAGGUGGAGCUACACUUUGGGACACAGGUGCGGCGCCUGGUGGAGGAGGUAACAGAUGACAAGACCCUGCCCAAGCUGGAGAGAAAGCGGCUGCAGGUGGAGCAAGCGCCCCACAGUAGCCCCGGGGCCAAACUGGUGAAACUGGCAGACAAGCUGUACAAUCUGAGGGACCUGAAUCGCUGCACCCCAGAGGGAUGGUCAGAACAUCGAGUCCAGGAAUACUUCGAGUGGGCAGCGCAAGUAGUGAAGGGGCUUCAGGGAACAAACCGGCAACUGGAAGAGGCGCUAAAGCAUCUGUUCAAGGAGCGGGGGCUGACACUCUGAUCAGUGCUUGAAGCUGUCCAGAGGCACAACUCCAGCCUCAUUCAGGCCGGACAGGAUUCAUACACCAUCUUUUCUGUGCCUCCCGAACUCCCUCCAUCCUUCCCAGAUACUACAGGCCAAAAAAAGACUUGCAUUUUUUCUUAAUCUGAAGAUCUCCUACUAACUAAGCUGAGCCCCGCGUGUGGGAAUCAGAUGUACCCAUCCAUUUGUGAUGCACUCACUGCCUCUCCCCAAGUCUUGGGUCUGUUUGCUAUUUUGCAUGAUGGGAUCUCUGGCCCCUCAAGGACUUGAGAUUAUAUAAGUACUAGUUCCUAAGACGUUAUGGAAAAUAAAAACUCUGGGUUAAGGUUUAA
RNA transcript from Cercocebus atys (sooty mangabey), 2537 nucleotides. It is a transcript of the gene named HD domain containing 3, with no coding region annotated. The record is from RefSeq and is a predicted model, not a curated record. The transcript is spliced from 4 exons. Lineage: Eukaryota; Metazoa; Chordata; Mammalia; Primates; Cercopithecidae.